This 493-nucleotide ribosomal RNA is filed under the name uncultured bacterium. Its description in RNAcentral is "partial 16S ribosomal RNA". It matches the Rfam family "Bacterial small subunit ribosomal RNA", at positions 28 to 506 of the family's 1533-position model. The record is from RNAcentral.
GACGAACGCUGGCGGCGCGCUUAACACAUGCAAGUCGAACGGAAAGGCCUGCUUUCCCUUGUGGAUUGCGGGUACUCGAGUGGCGAACGGGUGAGUAACACGUGAGUGAUCUGCCCCCAACUUGGGUAUAAGCCUGGGAAACUGGGUCUAAUUCCCGAUAGGACUGCAGGGUGGUGCCUGUGGUGGAAAACGAUUUUCUAGUGGUUGGGGAUGAGCUCGCGGCCUAUCAGCUUGUUGGUGGGGUAAUGGCCUACCAAGGCGGCGACGGGUAGCCGGCCUGAGAGGGUGGACGGCCACAUUGGGACUGAGAUACGGCCCAGACUCCUACGGGAGGCAGCAGUGGGGAAUAUUGCACGAUGGGCGGAAGCCUGAUGCAGCGACGCCGCGUGGGGGAUGACGGCCUUCGGGUUGUAAACUCCUUUCGACCGCGAGGAAGCCACCUGGUUGGAAGGGUGGUGACGGUAGUGGUAGAAGAAGCACCGGCUAACUACGU